GACGAACGCUGGCGGCGUGCUUAACACAUGCAAGUCGAACGGAAAGGCCUGCAGCUUGCUGCGGGUACUCGAGUGGCGAACGGGUGAGUAACACGUGGGUGAUCUGCCUUGCACUUCGGGAUAAGCUUGGGAAACUGGGUCUAAUACCGGAUAGGACAGCUGUUUAGUGUCAGUUGUGGAAAGUUUUUUCGGUGCAAGAUGAGCUCGCGGCCUAUCAGCUUGUUGGUGGGGUAAUGGCCUACCAAGGCAACGAUGCAUAGCCGACCUGAGAGGGUGAUCGGCCACACUGGAACUGAGACACGGUCCAGACUCCUACGGGAGGCAGCAGUAGGGAAUCUUCCGCAAUGGGCGAAAGCCUGACGGAGCAACGCCGCGUGAGUGAUGAAGGUCUUCGGAUCGUAAAACUCUGUUAUUAGGGAAGAACAUAUGUGUAAGUAACUGUGCACAUCUUGACGGUACCUAAUCAGAAAGCCACGGCUAACUACGUGCCAGCAGCCGCGGUAAUACGUAGGUGGCAAGCGUUAUCCGGAAUUAUUGGGCGUAAAGCGCGCGUAGGCGGUUUUUUAAGUCUGAUGUGAAAGCCCACGGCUCAACCGUGGAGGGUCAUUGGAAACUGGAAAACUUGAGUGCAGAAGAGGAAAGUGGAAUUCCAUGUGUAGCGGUGAAAUGCGCAGAGAUAUGGAGGAACACCAGUGGCGAAGGCGACUUUCUGGUCUGUAACUGACGCUGAUGUGCGAAAGCGUGGGGAUCAAACAGGAUUAGAUACCCUGGUAGUCCACGCCGUAAACGAUGAGUGCUAAGUGUUAGGGGGUUUCCGCCCCUUAGUGCUGUAGCUAACGCAUUAAGCACUCCGCCUGGGGAGUACGACCGCAAGGUUGAAACUCAAAGGAAUUGACGGGGACCCGCACAAGCGGUGGAGCAUGUGGUUUAAUUCGAAGCAACGCGAAGAACCUUACCAAAUCUUGACAUCCUUUGACAACUCUAGAGAUAGAGCCUUCCCCUUCGGGGGACAAAGUGACAGGUGGUGCAUGGUUGUCGUCAGCUCGUGUCGUGAGAUGUUGGGUUAAGUCCCGCAACGAGCGCAACCCUUAAGCUUAGUUGCCAUCAUUAAGUUGGGCACUCUAAGUUGACUGCCGGUGACAAACCGGAGGAAGGUGGGGAUGACGUCAAAUCAUCAUGCCCCUUAUGAUUUGGGCUACACACGUGCUACAAUGGACAAUACAAAGGGCAGCGAAACCGCGAGGUCAAGCAAAUCCCAUAAAGUUGUUCUCAGUUCGGAUUGUAGUCUGCAACUCGACUACAUGAAGCUGGAAUCGCUAGUAAUCGUAGAUCAGCAUGCUACGGUGAAUACGUUCCCGGGUCU
This 1363-nucleotide ribosomal RNA is filed under the name uncultured bacterium. RNAcentral's name for it is "bacterial SSU rRNA". It matches the Rfam family "Bacterial small subunit ribosomal RNA", at positions 28 to 1381 of the family's 1533-position model. The record is from RNAcentral.